This 392-nucleotide unclassified non-coding RNA is filed under the name soil metagenome. RNAcentral describes it as "partial contains 5.8S ribosomal RNA, internal transcribed spacer 2, and large subunit ribosomal RNA". The stretch from base 1 to 122 matches the Rfam family "5.8S ribosomal RNA", at positions 35 to 154 of the family's 154-position model. The record is from RNAcentral.
GAUGAAGAACGUAGCGAAAUGCGAUACUUGGUGUGAAUUGCAGAAUCCCGUGAACCAUCGAGUCUUUGAACGCAAGUUGCGCCCGAAGCCAUUAGGCCGAGGGCACGCCUGCCUGGGCGUCACACGUCGUUGCCCCCCCCAUCUACUCCUUCGGGAUUGCGGGGGGCGGAUGAUGGCCUCCCGUGUGCCUCGCCGCGCGGUGGGCAUAAAUGCCAAGUCCUCGGCGACGCACGCCACGACAAUCGGUGGUUGCGAAACCUCGGUUGCCCGUCGUGUGCGGUCGUCGCGCAUCGAGGGCUCGAAAAAAUUGCCGGGUUCCGGCUCGGCUUUCAACGCGACCCCAGGUCAGGCGGGGUUACCCGCUGAAUUUAAGCAUAUCAAUAAGCGGAGGA